RNAcentral lists this ribosomal RNA (489 nucleotides) under uncultured bacterium. RNAcentral's name for it is "bacterial SSU rRNA". It matches the Rfam family "Bacterial small subunit ribosomal RNA", at positions 29 to 494 of the family's 1533-position model. The record is from RNAcentral.
AACUAACGCUGGCGGCGUGCCUAACACAUGCAAGUCGUACGAGAAAGCCGGCUUCGGCUGGUGAGUAAAGUGGCGCACGGGUGAGUAACGCGUGGAUAAUCUGCCCUUAAGUGUGGAAUAACGUACCGAAAGGUGCGCUAAUACCGCAUAAUGCCUGGCAACACAAGUUGUCCGGCCAAAGAAGGCCUCUGUUUACAAGCUUUCGCUUCAGGAUGAGUCCGCGUACCAUUAGCUUGUUGGUGGGGUAAUGGCCUACCAAGGCUGCGAUGGUUAGCUGGUCUGAGAGGAUGAUCAGCCACACUGGAACUGAGACACGGUCCAGACUCCUACGGGAGGCAGCAGUGAGGAAUAUUGCGCAAUGGGGGCAACCCUGACGCAGCAACGCCGCGUGAGUGAGGAAGGCCUUCGGGUCGUAAAGCUCUGUCAGAUGGAAGAAAUGGAUGGGGCUAAGUAUCGCCCAUCCUUGACGGUACCAUCAGAGGAAGACCG